Molecule: ribosomal RNA, 502 nt
Filed under: uncultured bacterium
Lineage: Bacteria
Description: bacterial SSU rRNA
Rfam family: Bacterial small subunit ribosomal RNA
Source: RNAcentral
GAGUUUGAUCAUGGCUCAGGACGAACGCUGGCGGCGUGCUUAACACAUGCAAGUCGAGCGAUGAAGCUUCCUUCGGGAAGUGGAUUAGCGGCGGACGGGUGAGUAACACGUGGGCAACCUGCCUCAAAGAGGGGAAUAGCCCUCCGAAAGGAGGAUUAAUACCGCAUAAAGUUAGAGUUUCGCAUGAAACUUUAACCAAAGGAGUAAUCUGCUUUGAGAUGGGCCCGCGUCCCAUUAGCUAGUUGGUAAGGUAAUGGCUUACCAAGGCAACGAUGGGUAGCCGACCUGAGAGGGUGAUCGGCCACAUUGGAACUGAGACACGGUCCAGACUCCUACGGGAGGCAGCAGUGGGGAAUAUUGCGCAAUGGGGGAAACCCUGACGCAGCAACGCCGCGUGGGUGAUGAAGGUUUUCGGAUCGUAAAACCCUGUCUUCUGGGACGAUAAUGACGGUACCAGAUGAGGAAGCCACGGCUAACUACGUGCCAGCAGCCGCGGUAAUAC